This is a long non-coding RNA of Brachypodium distachyon (stiff brome), 812 nucleotides long. RefSeq lists it as uncharacterized. The record is from RefSeq and is a predicted model, not a curated record. The transcript is spliced from 3 exons. Lineage: Eukaryota; Viridiplantae; Streptophyta; Magnoliopsida; Poales; Poaceae.
GACGUAAGUUAAAUCGAUUCGUUCGUGGUCCAUCGGACGGCAGCACAUCAGAUCCCCUGGAAACGCACUGAUGGGUUGGCCCAAAGCCCAGUCCAAGGACCAAGAGGGAAAAGAAGAGCGCUGUCUCAGAAAAAGGCGCCAGAGGACAGGGUGUUAGACAAGUACGGCGGGAGAGAAAGAGAUUUCCCGCCAGGACCUGGAGGAGCUCACGUGCUGAUCUACUUCGUCAUUCCCAGGACCUGGAGCUCAAGCGCUGCUCUACUUUGGUUUGAUCAACUCCCCUAUUUCUCAUGGAAUUAAAUGGUUGAAUUUGAUCAAUUUCUCUAUUUGUCCACGGAAGAAGAAACUAUGAAAGAAACAGAGGUGGCAGAGGAGAUUAACAGAUCAAGCAAUGAUCCUCAUUUAAAUAGAGUUGUACUGCCAGGUUUGGUACCUCAUGUUGGCAUGGAAUUUACAAAUUCAGAUGAAGCUUGGGCAUUUUGGCUGAGCUAUUGUGGGCAGCAAGGCUUUGAGGUCAGAAAAAGGUAUACAAACAAAAGAGCAUCUGAUGGGAAAGUUACAUCAUGUAAAUUUGUUUGUGCAAAUGAGGGUCAUCGAUCACAAGACAAAAGGGACCAUUUAACAAAGUUGCCUCGAGCUGAAACUAGAACCGAUUGCCAAGUGCACAUGAGUGUUAAUGUGGACCGGAAAAAGGAAAAUCUCAAAGUGACUAAGCUGAUUUUGGAACACAAUCACACACUGCACCUGCCAGAAACUUUACAUUUAAUGGUGUCACAGAAGAAAAUUUCAGAGUUACAAGCUUUUGAAAUUGA